Molecule: ribosomal RNA, 525 nt
Filed under: Ascomycota sp. H-30
Lineage: Eukaryota; Fungi; Ascomycota
Description: eukaryotic LSU rRNA
Rfam family: 5.8S ribosomal RNA (bases 167-320)
Source: RNAcentral
AGGGAUCAUUACCGAGUUUACAACUCCCAAACCCCUGUGAACAUACCUAUCGUUGCUUCGGCGGGUCUCGCCCCGGCGCCCUCGGGCCCGGACUCAGGCGCCCGCCGGAGGACCUAAACUCUUGUCUUUAUGAGUAUCUUCUGAGUGACACAAGUAAAUAAAUCAAAACUUUCAACAACGGAUCUCUUGGUUCUGGCAUCGAUGAAGAACGCAGCGAAAUGCGAUAAGUAAUGUGAAUUGCAGAAUUCCGUGAAUCAUCGAAUCUUUGAACGCACAUUGCGCCCGCUAGUAUUCUGGCGGGCAUGCCUGUUCGAGCGUCAUUUCAACCCUCAAGCCCCCGGGCUUGGUGUUGGGGUUCGGCCCGCCCCUAGCGGCGCGCCGUCCCCGAAAUCUAGUGGCGGUCUCGCGAUAGCCUCCUCUGCGUAGUAGCAAUAUCUCGCACUGGGACUGAGCAAGGCCACGCCGUUAAACCCCCCACUUCUGAAGGUUGACCUCGGAUCAGGUAGGAAUACCCGCUGAACUUAA